RNAcentral lists this ribosomal RNA (446 nucleotides) under uncultured Verrucomicrobiota bacterium. RNAcentral describes it as "bacterial SSU rRNA". It matches the Rfam family "Bacterial small subunit ribosomal RNA", at positions 917 to 1359 of the family's 1533-position model. Lineage: Bacteria; Pseudomonadati; Verrucomicrobiota. The record is from RNAcentral.
GGGCCCGCACAAGCGGUGGAACACGUGGCUUAAUUCGAUGCAACGCGAAGAACCUUACCUGGGUUUGACAUGUAUCGGACAGGUUGUGAAAGCAACCCUCCUCUUCGGAGGCCAAUACACAGGUGCUGCAUGGCUGUCGUCAGCUCGUGUCGUGAGAUGUUCGGUUAAGUCCGGCAACGAGCGCAACCCUCGUCCUUAGUUUGCCAGCGGAUAAUGCCGGGGACUCUAGGGAGACUGGCCCUUAUCAAGGGCAGGAAGAUGGGGACGACGUCAAGUCAGUAUGGCCCUUAUACCCAGGGCUGCACACAUGUUACAAUGCUCGACACAAAGAGAUGCAAGAUCGCGAGAUGGAGCUAAUCUCAAAAAUCGAAGCUCAGUUCGGAUUGGAGUCUGCAACUCGACUCCAUGAAGUCGGAAUCGCUAGUAAUGGCGUAUCAGCAACGACG